AACAGAGACAAAUCUUCGUUAUAAGUUUAUCAGAAAAUGAUGAUGUUAUCGAAUUGGGAGAAUGGGGAAAGUUGUGGGGACAGUGAUAACAGAGCCAAAUCUCUGUCUAUCCAAUUGUCUAUCAAAACAGGAACUCAACGGAUUGGAGCCUACUGGGCUUGAGAGCCCCGCUGAGGAGUCCGGAGGUUGGGACGCAACUACUGCCGCGUCCCCUCCCGGUCCCCGGCCACAUGGCGAGCGGGGCGACACCGAAGCAGCCCACGGAGCUCGAGGCGACGCUGCUGAGCCUGGUUCCCCAAAGCGGCCGCGCCACUCCCCGCUUCCCCGCCCGGCUCCGGGCCCCAGGCCCUGGGACGCCGAGCCACCGCCGGCGUUUCAGACGCAAACCCCACCGCGACCCUGCAGCAGCCUGCCCCGCCUGGCCGCCAGAGGCACCUUCCAACUCCGAAACACAUUUUUCAACAUAUAAUAGAAUCAUUAUCAGAGGUGGACACAUUUAGAAGUUGUUCUUAAUCAGAGGGCAGCUUGUGCUUAGGAAAGCCAGCCUCAGUCCUCAGCACCCAGCACCCAGUGCUGCAGGUUUCUCCUGGGUGAAGAUGGACCAGCCCACCUUGGCCCUCCGGCAAGCUAGAACAAUAUGUACACGUCUCUCAAACUAUGAAGAGAAGAUUUGGGAGGAGUAUGAGAAAAUCCUCAAUACCAAACUAGCAGAGCAAUACGAGUCGUUUGUGAAAUUCACACAUGAGCAGAUUAUGCGACCAUGUGGGACAAGCCCAACAAACUAUGUGUCUUGAAGCUUUUUGUUGCAGAUCUCGGUACCAGGUUUGACCUCAAGGCAUGGUUGCUAUACAUUUUUUGCAACUGUUUGAUAUCACAUUUCAGCUCCAACUUUGCAUCCUGAGAACAUUCCAACGUUUCUGCAGGUCCAUUUUAUACGACUUGAAAGACCUUAAAACUUUCUGGUUGCCACAGGUAUAUCUUUCUUUUCUGUUCAUCCAGUAAAUAGUCAUACCCUACUGUGACAGAUUUUUCCAAACAAAAAUACCUGGAGCAGCAGUGUAGCAAAAUAUGCCUUCAGUGGCACUCAACAAAUGGAGUUUCCCCAAGCACAGUUCUGUAAGAAGUGUGUGUGAGAGUGUGUAUGUGUCUGUACAUGUACUUUAGAUUAUGGUUUGUAUUGUGCAAAUUUUUUUGAUCUUGGGGAUUCUGGCUGUGGAUUUGAUGCAGAAAAUUAUGGUUAAAAACUAUGGUCUACAGAAGAUACUUAAUGCUUUGUGACUAUAUAAAUUGUAACAGUGGAUUGUUUUAUGUGUAGGUAUUAUUGUUAAAUAUGGGGACUGUUCACCAGGCACAAAAUAGGAAUCAUAAAUUAGGAUGCAGGCUGGGUAUGGUGGCUCAUGCCUGUAAUCCCAGCACUUUGGGAGGAGGCCGAGCUGGGCGGAUCGCUUGAGGAGAGUUCGUGAUCAGCCUGGCCAACGUGGAGAAACCCUGUCCCUACUAAAAAUACAAAAAUUAGGUGGACAUGGUGGCGAGCACCUGUAAUCCCAGCUUCUCGGGAGGCUGAGGCAGGAGAAUCACUUGAACCAGGGAGGCAGAGGUUGCAGUGAGCCCAGAUUGUGCCACUGCACUCUAGCCUCGGUGACAGAGUAAGAUUCCAUCUCAAAGAAAAAAAAAAAAAGUGAAGAUGGCCAUUGGCUGUGGUUAUGACAAUACAGUGAAAGUCUGUUGUCUUAGAUAUACAAAUACAUAGUGAGAAAUUAGAACAAACUGGAGACUGGCCUUUGACACAUGGACUCUGCCUAGCUGUGUUAGAAAAAUAUUUAACUCCAAGCCUUAAAAUUCCCAAAUGGAGUUGGUGCUUACCUCAUUCACACAAUCCAAGAGUUCACUGGGUCCUGAACCUCUAAAGGGAAAAGGUCUCCCCUGGAGCAGGAGCAUCAGAGUUUGCUCGGGGGCAUAAGGUAGGUGAGUGCUGGGCCGAGGCAGGCUCCCCUGGCACUGCUAGUUGCAGGAGCACUUUACCUUUGUAUCAGUUACUAAAAACAAAAUUUGAAUCCUUUGGUCAGGUUCCCCCAAAUUAUUUUGAGGUAGCCAUGUUUAAGUGCUUGAGCUUUUGUGUUGGCAAACCCCUGCCCAAGGUUGCUAAUAGGGUAUUCUGCCCCUUGUUUCCACAGCUGAGGCACAGAAAGUAGCCUCUUUUGUGAGGAGUUGGGAGUUAAGUAUACAUUUAUUUUUUUACCAUGAUUUGUUCAGGACCACAUUUUACAAGAUACCUUGUUUCCUUUAUUAUUGUUUCUGGAAAGUCCUAUUCAUAUUAUUUUAUUUGAAUAUAGAAUAUAGUUUUUUUAAAUGAGGGCUUAUUUUGAAAAAUUCUGAGCUUAAUUCAAAUUUAUGCCAAUACCUUCCCAAAUAAGGUAAUAGUCAAAGACAGAUGUUCUGAUCAAAUGGCUUAGAGAUAGUCCUGGAAUAUUCAUAUUCAAAGAUUCCUUAUUAAUGAAUGUCUUUAACUUAAAUCUACCCAAUAAUUGCAACAUGGUUCUUUGUACAUUUUCAUUAUAUGGUGUUAACAAGCUUCACUGCAAACAAAUAAAUUACUUAAGUU
Molecule: long non-coding RNA, 2602 nt
Filed under: Homo sapiens (human)
Lineage: Eukaryota; Metazoa; Chordata; Mammalia; Primates; Hominidae
Description: long non-coding RNA NONHSAT120210.2
Source: RNAcentral